GUUACCUCUGUUAAAUCGCUGACAGCAGUUUAAGGUCCAAUAGGCUGGUACUCACAUGGGCUGCGUGGAUGUUUUAUAUUUCCAGAACCUAGCACAGUGCCAGGCAUAAAACAAUGCUAGGAGCUAGAAACAUGAGGAAUACAUGAGCUCGGUGCCAAUGGAACGUGCUUUCACACCGGGUGCAGCUGACUACCACAUCAUACAAAACUCAUCACUGCCGUUUUAGAUGUGUAAUCUGAUUGGCAUGGGCUCACAGAGGAGGGAGUAAGGGAAGAGUAAGAAGAUUUCAAAGGAGAGACACAGGUUGCAGGUUAGCAGGAGAACAGGCAAGCCAAAUGCAAAGGAGCCACUUCAGAAAUGUCACAGAAAAGUGAAAAUGCAGCCUAGUGGUAAAUGAAGAGGGGAAGAAGAAAGAAAAAGGACCAGAACCGUGAACUGAAGGGACGGGGAACAGCCAGAGGAGAGCUUCAGCCAUCACGAGGAUGAUUUCGGAACCUGGAGAAAAUGUGUUCCUGGCUCUAUGCCAAAUGCAUCCUGGACUGGAAACCUCAGAGCUAUAAAGUGGAGUGACAUGGAAG
RNAcentral lists this small RNA (578 nucleotides) under Pongo abelii (Sumatran orangutan). RNAcentral's name for it is "processed transcript". The record is from RNAcentral. Lineage: Eukaryota; Metazoa; Chordata; Mammalia; Primates; Hominidae.